UUCCAGUUUACUGUCCACCGACUUGGGCAAGUACUUGUGACGAAUGUAAAAAUGCAUAUGGUACACCGGUCGCCAACGCAAAAUGCGCGGCAUUAAAGACGUACCUGACCUGUCUGGAGGGAUCAGCGAAGGGUGAAGCCGGGUGUCCACUUGCAGCUGCUGACGCUCAGGUCAUACAGACAGAUUUUGAAGCAGAUUCCUGUACAUUUACCGACACCUGCAUUUGUCAGAAAGAUUUCUGGAAAACUGACCAGAGCGCUUCUGGGGAAGCAGAUACUUGCAGUGAUAUCCAGACCUACAUCACGUGCUUGAAGGGAAAGACAG
Haliotis rubra (blacklip abalone) is the source of this 324-nucleotide long non-coding RNA. RefSeq lists it as uncharacterized. NCBI's taxonomy places the organism in Eukaryota, Metazoa, Mollusca, Gastropoda, Lepetellida, Haliotidae. The record is from RefSeq and is a predicted model, not a curated record. The transcript is spliced from 4 exons.